RNAcentral lists this ribosomal RNA (253 nucleotides) under uncultured bacterium. RNAcentral describes it as "partial 16S ribosomal RNA". It matches the Rfam family "Bacterial small subunit ribosomal RNA", at positions 524 to 776 of the family's 1533-position model. The record is from RNAcentral.
UACGAAGGGGGCUAGCGUUGUUCGGAUUUACUGGGCGUAAAGCGCACGUAGGCGGAUCGUUAAGUCAGGGGUGAAAUCCUGGAGCUCAACUCCAGAACUGCCUUUGAUACUGGCGAUCUUGAGUCCGGAAGAGGUGGGUGGAACUCCUAGUGUAGAGGUGGAAUUCGUAGAUAUUAGGAAGAACACCAGUGGCGAAGGCGGCUCACUGGUCCGGUACCGACGCUGAGGUGCGAAAGCGUGGGGAGCAAACAGG